AUUGAACGCUGGCGGCAUGCUUUGCACAUGCAAGUCGAACGGUAACAGGUUAAGCUGACGAGUGGCGAACGGGUGAGUAAUGCAUCGGAACGUGCCCGGUCGUGGGGGAUAACGCAGCGAAAGCUGCGCUAAUACCGCAUACGAUCUGAGGAUGAAAGCGGGGGACCGUAAGGCCUCGCGCGAUCGGAGCGGCCGAUGUCAGAUUAGGUAGUUGGUGGGGUAAAGGCUCACCAAGCCAACGAUCUGUAGCUGGUCUGAGAGGACGACCAGCCACACUGGGACUGGGACACGGCCCAGACUCCUACGGGAGGCAGCAGUGGGGAAUUUUGGACAAUGGGCGAAAGCCUGAUCCAGCAAUGCCGCGUGCAGGAAGAAGGCCUUCGGGUUGUAAACUGCUUUUGUACGGAGCGAAAAGGUCUCCUCUAAUACAGGGGGCUCAUGACGGUACCGUAAGAAUAAGCACCGGCUAACUACGUGCCAGCAGCCGCAGUAA
RNAcentral lists this ribosomal RNA (493 nucleotides) under uncultured bacterium. Its description in RNAcentral is "partial 16S ribosomal RNA". It matches the Rfam family "Bacterial small subunit ribosomal RNA", at positions 29 to 523 of the family's 1533-position model. The record is from RNAcentral.